This 468-nucleotide ribosomal RNA is filed under the name uncultured bacterium. Its description in RNAcentral is "partial 16S ribosomal RNA". It matches the Rfam family "Bacterial small subunit ribosomal RNA", at positions 28 to 507 of the family's 1533-position model. The record is from RNAcentral.
GACGAACGCUGGCGGCGUGCUUAACACAUGCAAGUCGAACGGAAAGGCCCUGCUUUUGUGGGGUGCUCGAGUGGCGAACGGGUGAGUAACACGUGAGUAACCUGCCCUUGACUUUGGGAUAACUUCAGGAAACUGGGGCUAAUACCGGAUAGGAGCUCCUGCUGCAUGGUGGGGGUUGGAAAGUUUCGGCGGUUGGGGAUGGACUCGCGGCUUAUCAGCUUGUUGGUGGGGUAGUGGCUUACCAAGGCUUUGACGGGUAGCCGGCCUGAGAGGGUGACCGGCCACCUGGGGACUGAGAUACGGCCCAGACUCCUACGGGAGGCAGCAGUGGGGAAUAUUGCACAAUGGGCGGAAGCCUGAUGCAGCAACGUCGCGUGCGGGAUGACGGCCUUCGGGUUGUAAACCGCUUUCGCCUGUGACGAAGCGUGAGUGACGGUAAUGGGUAAAGAAGCACCGGCUAACUACGUG